Molecule: non-coding RNA, 240 nt
Filed under: Clostridium sp.
Lineage: Bacteria; Bacillati; Bacillota; Clostridia; Eubacteriales; Clostridiaceae
Description: T-box sequence
Rfam family: T-box leader
About the family: Uncharged tRNA acts as the effector for transcription antitermination of genes in the T-box leader family. T-boxes are found upstream of many aminoacyl-tRNA synthetase genes and some amino acid biosynthetic genes usually in Gram-positive bacteria. The anticodon of a specific tRNA base pairs to a specifier sequence within the T-box motif, and the NCCA acceptor tail of the tRNA base pairs to a conserved bulge in the T-box antiterminator hairpin.
Source: RNAcentral
AUAAAUGCGUGGAAGGGAAGAAGUAGUAUCAGAGGAAACCUACAGAAAGUCGCCGGUUGAUGAGAGGCGCAGGAGUAUCCUGAUAUGAAUACAUCCCGGAGCGGCCGGCUGAAGAUUACAUAGUAGGUCUGGACGGGAUUGCACUCCGUUAUUGUGCAGGGAUAUAGAGGUAUCCUAUGGAGCCUGUCAUCGUGAGGUGAUAGGAAAUAAAGGUGGUAACACGAUGAUAUCGUCCUUUAU